CAGUAGCCGCGGUAAUACGAAGGGUGCAAGCGUUACUCGGAAUUACUGGGCGUAAAGCGUGCGUAGGUGGUGGUUUAAGUCCGUUGUGAAAGCCCUGGGCUCAACCUGGGAAUUGCAGUGGAUACUGGGUCACUAGAGUGUGGUAGAGGAUAGUGGAACUUCCGGUGUAGCAGUGAAAUGCGUAGAGAUCGGAAGGAACAUCUGUGGCGAAGGCGACUAUCUGGGCCAACACUGACACUGAGGCACGAAAGCGUGGGGAGCAAACAGGAUUAGAUACCCCUGUAGUCCCUGUCUCUUAUAC
RNAcentral lists this ribosomal RNA (301 nucleotides) under uncultured bacterium. RNAcentral describes it as "partial 16S ribosomal RNA". It matches the Rfam family "Bacterial small subunit ribosomal RNA", at positions 509 to 807 of the family's 1533-position model. The record is from RNAcentral.